RNAcentral lists this ribosomal RNA (253 nucleotides) under uncultured bacterium. RNAcentral's name for it is "partial 16S ribosomal RNA". It matches the Rfam family "Bacterial small subunit ribosomal RNA", at positions 524 to 776 of the family's 1533-position model. The record is from RNAcentral.
UACGUAGGGUGCGAGCGUUAAUCGGAAUUACUGGGCGUAAAGGGUGCGCAGGCGGUUCUGCAAGUCAGGCGUGAAAGCCCCGGGCUUAACCUGGGAAUGGCGCUUGAAACUACAGGACUGGAGUAUGGCAGAGGGAGGUGGAAUUCCGCGUGUAGCAGUGAAAUGCGUAGAGAUGCGGAGGAACACCGAUGGCGAAGGCAGCCCCCUGGGCCAAUACUGAUGCUCAGGCACGAAAGCGUGGGGAGCAAACAGG